AAUUUGGUGGUGUGGUGCUGUAUUUUUGUUAAAAGUUCGCGGUCGAGGUCGAAGUCGAGGUCGAGGUCGAGGUCGAGGUCGAGAGCGACAACAUUGACACUAGGAGAGAAGUAGUCAUCAACACAUUGUGUGAAUACCUGCCUGAAGACAGUGAUAGCCUGAUUAAAGAAUACUUGGAUAUACAGGGAGAUAACAUAAUGAAACACCUUGAGCAAACUGUCAUGGGAAUAUUUGUGAUCAGGAAGGAAGGUACGGCAGCAUAUGAACCCCCUGAAGAUGUCGACAUUGUAAUCAAGUGUGUGAAAGUGAUACAUGAUCUGAGAAGUGUGGCCAAUGCUUGUGCCUUGCUAAUGGGUUUGAUAUGUGCACUCAAUUUAACCAAAGGAACUCAAAUACACCUUUGAAGUAAUCCAAACGGUGUUUAUGGAGUUAGACAUAAAUUGUAUUCAAAAGUGCAAGGACUAAAGAACAAAAUAAGUUGAUCCAGGAGCUGUCGCUUAAGGCCAGCACAAACCUGGACAACUCUGCACCUUUGUUCACGAAUAAAUUGUAUUUCAUCACUUGCACUUAAAGAACUCACUUUGGA
Molecule: long non-coding RNA, 586 nt
Organism: Acipenser ruthenus (sterlet)
Lineage: Eukaryota; Metazoa; Chordata; Actinopteri; Acipenseriformes; Acipenseridae
Exons: 3
Source: RefSeq, a predicted model, not a curated record